AGCGAACGCUGGCGGCAGGCUUAACACAUGCAAGUCGAGCGGGCAUCCUUGUGGUGUCAGCGGCAGACGGGUGAGUAACGCGUGGGAACGUGCCCUUCGGUUCGGAAUAACUCAGGGAAACUUGAGCUAAUGCCGGAUACGUGCGAGAGCAGAAAGGUUUAUCUGCCGAAGGAUCGGCCCGCGUCUGAUUAGCUAGUUGGUGAGGUUAUGGCUCACCAAGGCGACGAUCAGUAGCUGGUCUGAGAGGAUGAUCAGCCACACUGGGACUGAGACACGGCCCAGACUCCUACGGGAGGCAGCAGUGGGGAAUAUUGGACAAUGGGGGCAACCCUGAUCCAGCCAUGCCGCGUGAGUGAUGACGGCCUUAGGGUUGUAAAGCUCUUUUCUCCGGGACGAUAAUGACGGUACCGGAGGAAUAAACCCCGGCUAACUUCGUG
This 437-nucleotide ribosomal RNA is filed under the name uncultured bacterium. Its description in RNAcentral is "partial 16S ribosomal RNA". It matches the Rfam family "Bacterial small subunit ribosomal RNA", at positions 29 to 507 of the family's 1533-position model. The record is from RNAcentral.